This 253-nucleotide ribosomal RNA is filed under the name uncultured bacterium. RNAcentral's name for it is "partial 16S ribosomal RNA". It matches the Rfam family "Bacterial small subunit ribosomal RNA", at positions 524 to 776 of the family's 1533-position model. The record is from RNAcentral.
UACGGAGGGUGCGAGCGUUGUUCGGAAUCACUGGGCGUAAAGCGCACGCAGGCGGAUCGAUAAGUCGGGGGUGAAAGCCCGGGGCUCAACCUCGGAAUUGCCUUCGAUACUGUCGGUCUCGAGUCCGGGAGAGGUGAGUGGAAUUCCUAGUGUAGAGGUGAAAUUCGUAGAUAUUAGGAAGAACACCAGUGGCGAAGGCGGCUCACUGGCCCGGUACUGACGCUCAGGUGCGAAAGCGUGGGGAGCAAACAGG